GGAGUUAGCCGGUGCUUCUUCUGUGAGUGAUGUCCUUCCUGCCGGCUAUUAACCCGCAGGCCUUCUUCCUCACUGAAAGUGCUUUACAACCCGAAGGCCUUCUUCACACACGCGGCAUGGCUGGAUCAGGGUUGCCCCCAUUGUCCAAUAUUCCCCACUGCUGCCUCCCGUAGGAGUCUGGGCCGUGUCUCAGUCCCAGUGUGGCUGAUCAUCCUCUCAGACCAGCUACGGAUCGUCGCCUUGGUGAGCCGUUACCUCACCAACCAGCUAAUCCGACAUAGGCUCAUCCGAUAGCGCGAGGCCCGAAGGUCCCCCGCUUUCCCCCGUAGGGCGUAUGCGGUAUUAGCCUGGGUUUCCCCAGGUUAUCCCCCACUACCGGGCAGAUUCCUAUGCAUUACUCACCCGUCCGCCGCUCGCCACCAGGGAGCAAGCUCCCCGUGCUGCCGCUCGACUUGCAUGUGUUAGGCCUGCCGCCAGCGUUCAAUCUGAGCCAGAGACACACUCACGUACGAGCGGCGGUGUCGACGACGGCG
RNAcentral lists this ribosomal RNA (533 nucleotides) under uncultured bacterium. Its description in RNAcentral is "partial 16S ribosomal RNA". The record is from RNAcentral.